GUUGGAGUGUGGCACAACACACAACUAUGGUCCUUCCUGUUGGGGAAGCUGAGUGAGGCUGGCAGACAGCUUGAGCUCAGGAGUUUUGAGUUGCAGUAGGUCUAAGUUAACUGUAUGUCCACACUAAGUUCAGCACCAUUAUGGUGAGCCUCUGGGAGCAGAAAGCCCCUCAGGAUACCUAGAGAAGGGCAAACCAGUCCAAAUUGGAAAAAACAGAGCAAGUUAAAGCUUUCAUGCUGAUCAGUACUGGGAUCAUGCCCAGGAGUGGCUGCUGAACUUCUAGCCUGGGCAAGGUUGUGAACUGAAUUUU
RNAcentral lists this signal recognition particle RNA (310 nucleotides) under Phascolarctos cinereus (koala). Its description in RNAcentral is "Metazoan signal recognition particle RNA (ENSPCIG00000015571.2)". The stretch from base 73 to 292 matches the Rfam family "Metazoan signal recognition particle RNA", at positions 64 to 278 of the family's 299-position model. Rfam says of the family: The signal recognition particle (SRP) is a universally conserved ribonucleoprotein. It is involved in the co-translational targeting of proteins to membranes. The eukaryotic SRP consists of a 300-nucleotide 7S RNA and six proteins: SRPs 72, 68, 54, 19, 14, and 9. The record is from RNAcentral. Lineage: Eukaryota; Metazoa; Chordata; Mammalia; Diprotodontia; Phascolarctidae.